This 908-nucleotide long non-coding RNA is filed under the name Malus domestica (apple). RNAcentral describes it as "long non-coding RNA (MDOM_LNC016446)". The record is from RNAcentral. Lineage: Eukaryota; Viridiplantae; Streptophyta; Magnoliopsida; Rosales; Rosaceae.
CAUCCAUACCCUUGUUCUUGAAGCAUAGUAAAGCAUGACCUAAAAUGAACUCCUUUUUGAUCAAUGUAUUGCAGAAAGCAAGUGUGGGGGAAGUGAUUCUUGUGUGUGUGUGUGUACCAGAGUCCUUAAUAAGGCACGGGUAGAGAAAAGAAAAAAAAAGUAUGAAAAAGAGCUCUAAAGUGUUAUUUGUUAAAAAAGGGUCUAAACAAUUGAAUUCAGUCCUAAGUGUUGCAUGAAUCUUCCCUUUGUAUGUAAAAGUUGAUUCUGCAUUCUAAAGUGAAUUCCAAGUGUCUAUUUCAUUGCUUUGCUUGCUAUCGCUUUAAGAAUGUUUGUUAUUCCUAUCCUUUCUUUGUUAGCCAUUACCCCCAAGCCCUGUUACAACAUUUGACUUCAAUCUUGAGUGUUGUGCGUUUCAAUUUGUGGAGUUCGAAAUUGGUAUGAGCAUAUGGUGUCACUGGUUCUCACAUCUAAGUAGUAGCAUACCAUUCAUGAGAUCAUAUCUAAACAUGCUUAAUAACUCCAGAAAAUUGCUUUCCUUUGUUAUACAUAUAUGUGAGUCCCAGUCUCUAGUGUAGGGUGUGUAGUCAGAAAAUGUGUGUGCAAAUAGAGAGUAUCUUCUAAGGAAUUGAGCAAAUUCUCUAAGGCAUGUUAGUACAUUAAAAACAUUGUUUUAAUUGGUUAAUUAUGAACUAGUAAGUGGUGACUGUGAUUAAGUUUGUGCUCAAGUGUGAGGAUAACCAAAAGCUGUGGGAAUGAUGAUUUUUAACAUGUCAUGUGCAUUGGAAAUCCCUGAGGCAAAUGUUGGAAGGUUAGGUUGUGUUUUGUUUGUUUUGUUUUGCUUUGUUUCUUUUGUUUAUUUUGUUUUGCUCGAGGACUAGCAAAAGCUAAGUGUGGGGGAAUUUGAUAGG